This 499-nucleotide ribosomal RNA is filed under the name unidentified oral bacterium SH2. RNAcentral's name for it is "bacterial SSU rRNA". It matches the Rfam family "Bacterial small subunit ribosomal RNA", at positions 38 to 521 of the family's 1533-position model. The record is from RNAcentral.
GGCGGCGUGCCUAAUACAUGCAAGUAGAACGCUGAAGGAGGAGCUUGCUUCUCUGGAUGAGUUGCGAACGGGUGAGUAACGCGUAGGUAACCUGCCUGGUAGCGGGGGAUAACUAUUGGAAACGAUAGCUAAUACCGCAUAAUAGUAGAUGUUGCAUGACAUUUGCUUAAAAGGUGCAAUUGCAUCACUACCAGAUGGACCUGCGUUGUAUUAGCUAGUUGGUGAGGUAACGGCUCACCAAGGCGACGAUACAUAGCCGACCUGAGAGGGUGAUCGGCCACACUGGGACUGAGACACGGCCCAGACUCCUACGGGAGGCAGCAGUAGGGAAUCUUCGGCAAUGGACGGAAGUCUGACCGAGCAACGCCGCGUGAGUGAAGAAGGUUUUCGGAUCGUAAAGCUCUGUUGUAAGAGAAGAACGAGUGUGAGAGUGGAAAGUUCACACUGUGACGGUAUCUUACCAGAAAGGGACGGCUAACUACGUGCCAGCAGCCGCGGU